RNAcentral lists this ribosomal RNA (443 nucleotides) under uncultured bacterium. RNAcentral describes it as "partial 16S ribosomal RNA". It matches the Rfam family "Bacterial small subunit ribosomal RNA", at positions 338 to 795 of the family's 1533-position model. The record is from RNAcentral.
CCUACGGGGUGCAGCAGUGGGGAAUAUUGGGCAAUGGGCGCAAGCCUGACCCAGCAACGCCGCGUGAAGGAAGAAGGCUUUCGGGUUGUAAACUUCUUUUCUCAGGGACGAAGCAAGUGACGGUACCUGAGGAAUAAGCCACGGCGAACUACGUGCCAGCAGCCGCGGGAAUACGUAGGUGGCAAGCGUUAUCCGGAUUUACUGGGUGUAAGGGUCGUGUAGGCGGGGACGCAAGUCAGAGGUGAAAACCACGGGCGCAACCUGUGGCCUGCAUUUGAAACUGUGUUUCUUGAGUACUGGAGAGGCAGACGGAAUUCCUAGUGUAGCGGUGAAAUGCGUAGAUAUUAGGAGGAACACCAGUGGCGAAGGCGGUCGGCUGGACAGCAACUGACGCUGAGGCGCGAAAGCGUGGGGAGCAAACAGGAUUAGAUACCCGGGUAGUC